This 253-nucleotide ribosomal RNA is filed under the name uncultured bacterium. RNAcentral's name for it is "partial 16S ribosomal RNA". It matches the Rfam family "Bacterial small subunit ribosomal RNA", at positions 524 to 776 of the family's 1533-position model. The record is from RNAcentral.
CACGUAGGAGGCGAGCGUUGUCCGGAAUCAUUGGGCGUAAAGAGCGUGUAGGCGGCCAGACAGGUCCGUUGUGAAAACUCGAGGCUCAACCUCGAGACGCCGAUGGAAACCGUCUGGCUAGAGUCCGGAAGAGGAGAGUGGAAUUCCUGGUGUAGCGGUGAAAUGCGCAGAUAUCAGGAAGAACACCCGUGGCUAAGGCGGCUCUCUAGUACGGUACUGACGCUGAGACGCGAAAGCGUGGGGAGCGAACAGG